RNAcentral lists this long non-coding RNA (660 nucleotides) under Pan troglodytes (chimpanzee). RNAcentral describes it as "lincRNA". Lineage: Eukaryota; Metazoa; Chordata; Mammalia; Primates; Hominidae. The record is from RNAcentral.
ACACAGCCAGUGAAGGAAAGGGCUGAAAUCAAACCAGGCCUGUCUGACUGCAAGGCAGGGUCUUAAGGCUGCCUCCUGUGGGUAGGUCCAGGACCCAGCUGGUCUCCGUCCUGUGGCUCAGGUGCGAGGAGAGCCUCCCUGGGCCACCUGGGGAAGUCUGACUGACGUGCCAGAUCCUCACAGAACAAAGCACCCCCUCUCUCAGCACCAGGGAGCUCCUCCAGGAGCACCUUCCUCCCAUGUCUGUGUUCGCCGUUAAGACUGGACACACCAGGAUGAUCUUUCAACUUUGGGUCCAAAGGCCCUCAGCGGAUGUAAAAUAGGUACAUGAGGCCUUGAACUGAACAUUUUUUUCACUUCACCAUAACCUGGAUUUUCCCAGUUUAGGAGCAUCUGUUUGUCUUGAUAACGUUUGGAACAAAGUGAAAAAAAUUAGACUUUGAAGAGACCUUCAGCCUCCCAGCAGCCCUGUUUUACAGAUGAAGAAACUGAGGCUCAAAGAGCUGGAGAAGGUUGUUGCCCAGGGUCCUGUGGAGAGAAAACUCAAGCUCUGGCUGUUCCACCACUCUGGGACACCACCCCCAGUGGGAACCCCACCUUUACAAGGAUUCGAAGCUUUACUCCAUUUUUUGCCACACAUAAGGAGGCCGAGGAGGGAAG